Tupaia belangeri (northern tree shrew) is the source of this 191-nucleotide small nuclear RNA. Its record names the gene U2. It matches the Rfam family "U2 spliceosomal RNA". From Rfam's summary of the family: U2 is a small nuclear RNA (snRNA) component of the spliceosome (involved in pre-mRNA splicing). Complementary binding between U2 snRNA (in an area lying towards the 5' end but 3' to hairpin I) and the branchpoint sequence (BPS) of the intron results the bulging out of an unpaired adenosine, on the BPS, which initiates a nucleophilic attack at the intronic 5' splice site, thus starting the first of two transesterification reactions that mediate splicing. The record is from Ensembl. Lineage: Eukaryota; Metazoa; Chordata; Mammalia; Scandentia; Tupaiidae.
AUCGCUUCUCAGCAUUUUGGCUAAGAUCGAGUGUAGCAUCUGUUCUUAUCAGUUUAAUAUCUGAUAUGUCCUCUAUCUGAGGACAAUGUAUUAAGUGGAUUUUUGGAGCUUGGAGGUGGAGUAGGAGCUUGCUCCGUACACUCCAUGCAUUGACCUGGUAUUGCAGUGCUUGCAGGAACGGUGCACCCCUU